CUAAAUAGCUACAACAGAUGUUUCAUCAGAAGACUGGUUGGGUGACCGGUCUGAGCGUUUAGUCUACCUCCAAGUCAAUUUUAGUCGACCUAGUAUAAGCAAGCAAGCUAGCUUUCUGUGUAACUAUGCGAGCUAACGUAAUUCAGCCCACAGCGAACCUUAAGUUAGCUGGAUAUUUGUUUUUCUGUUCUCUACAUCGAGUACAUAGCUAGCUACCUAGUUAAAUAUCUAGAUAUAUGAUGUUAGCCUUAGGUAGAUACAUGCUCGCUAGUUAACGUUAGCCACGAUAGCCUUAACUACAUAACUACGUUUUAAAUUGGUAGCUUGUCUGUUACAUAGGUGCCUUACGCACACUGGCCUUGCUCAUUACAGUAAAAUAAGCAAUAUUAUUUUCGACGGUAGCUACCAAACAACAGGUUAUUCAACAAUCAGCAAUGUAAGCUUGUUAGCUGGUUUAUUCUAGAUUUGCUUUGCACGUUGGGCAUGGUCAGCUGCUCGGGCGCACUAUCCAGAAUCACCACACGGGGGCACUCCGUGCUCAGUAGUGAACCUGCGAAUUCAGCACCAACGGAGGCUUCUCAGCCGACCCAAACUCACUCCUGCUCCACCCCGGGACAGGUGUCAGUGGGGUGAAGGGAGAGCACCAGGGCGACGGCCCCGUGUCAGUCUAAUUUAAUAAGACCCACCCAGAGCCGCAUCCACCGAGCCUCUGGGUCUGACCUCCACAACGACGAGGAGUGCAAAGAGAUGCAACUGACCACACACGGAAGAGGUGUGAAAGGGUGUCUCCGUCUUAAACAAUGCCGCCUAACAAUGCAACCGAAACUCUUGUUCUGAAUGUUUUUGGGUGGCUUGUAACCCUAUUUUUUAAAUAUUGAAUAAACAUGUUCUGAUUUAA
Molecule: long non-coding RNA, 898 nt
Organism: Anguilla rostrata (American eel)
Lineage: Eukaryota; Metazoa; Chordata; Actinopteri; Anguilliformes; Anguillidae
Exons: 3
Source: RefSeq, a predicted model, not a curated record